ACUUGGUGAUGUGGGCAUUAGUGCAAGAGGUCCCUAAAGCGCUCUCAUGUCUCGAAAAAUAGUUCCCCAUCCAAUUGUGAAAAACUAGUGAUGACCUUCCUCAAAUG
Molecule: small nucleolar RNA, 107 nt
Organism: Malania oleifera
Lineage: Eukaryota; Viridiplantae; Streptophyta; Magnoliopsida; Santalales; Ximeniaceae
Source: RefSeq, a predicted model, not a curated record